RNAcentral lists this ribosomal RNA (433 nucleotides) under uncultured bacterium. RNAcentral describes it as "partial 16S ribosomal RNA". It matches the Rfam family "Bacterial small subunit ribosomal RNA", at positions 29 to 507 of the family's 1533-position model. The record is from RNAcentral.
AACGAACGCUGGCGGCAGGCCUAACACAUGCAAGUCGAGCGAGAUCUUCGGGUCCAGCGGCGGACGGGUGAGUAACGCGUGGGAAUAUGCCCUUCUCUGCGGAAUAGCCUCGGGAAACUGAGCGUAAUACCGCAUACGCCCUUUGGGGGAAAGAUUUAUCGGAGAAGGAUUAGCCCGCGUUGGAUUAGGUAGUUGGUGGGGUAACGGCCUACCAAGCCGACGAUCCAUAGCUGGUUUGAGAGGAUGAUCAGCCACACUGGGACUGAGACACGGCCCAGACUCCUACGGGAGGCAGCAGUGGGGAAUCUUAGACAAUGGGGGCAACCCUGAUCUAGCCAUGCCGCGUGAGUGAUGAAGGCCUUAGGGUUGUAAAGCUCUUUCAGCUGGGAAGAUAAUGACGGUACCAGCAGAAGAAGCCCCGGCUAACUCCGUG